GGCAGCAUAGUGCAGUGGAUUAGUGCGUUUGGUUUUGGCUCAAAAGGUGUGGGUUCGACUCUCACUGUUGUUU
This 73-nucleotide transfer RNA is filed under the name Ipomoea nil (Japanese morning glory). It matches the Rfam family "tRNA". From Rfam's summary of the family: Transfer RNA (tRNA) molecules are approximately 80 nucleotides in length. Their secondary structure includes four short double-helical elements and three loops (D, anti-codon, and T loops). Lineage: Eukaryota; Viridiplantae; Streptophyta; Magnoliopsida; Solanales; Convolvulaceae. The record is from Rfam by way of RNAcentral.